Molecule: long non-coding RNA, 942 nt
Filed under: Amborella trichopoda
Lineage: Eukaryota; Viridiplantae; Streptophyta; Magnoliopsida; Amborellales; Amborellaceae
Description: long non-coding RNA (ATRI_LNC003125)
Source: RNAcentral
UUGUUCCUAUUAGAGCAUAACAAAAAAAUAUCACAAGUGAAUUCUUUAUUUUUUGAAAUUUUUUAUUUUUAUUUUUUUUUUAAAUUAAUAUCCCCAAGUCGCCUCACACCGGACCCAAUAGCUCAGAGCAUGGACAUCAUCAUCAUCAGGAGUCUAAGCAUCCCUCUAUGUUUUCUAUCUACUCUCUGUCGAUCUCCAGGUAACAAUUUCUCAAUUGCUCUCGUGUUUUCUCGCUCUGUAAGUCCUAGUUUUUUUUUUCCUCUGCAGCUUCUAGUGCUUUUUUAUUUGUUUUUUUCUCCACUUAUUUGAUACACAAGCCCAUGAAUCCUUGCUGCUCUUUUGUUGAAACCCCUCUAAUGGGUUUGUGAAAGUGGGGGUCUUUAUUUGCUUGGUAAUUGGUGUGUAGUUCAACUAUGGCGUUGAUUUGAGGAUAUUUUGAAGAUCUAGUGAAGAUUCAUAAAAAAUUUCUGGUAAUUUUUAUUUGUAGCUUCUUGUUUUGGUGGAGGGUAUUCGUCCUUUUUGUGAUUUAUUUUGUGGGUGUCAGCCAAAUCACAAUUUUGCCCAAUUACAAGCUCCAUUUCCUCUGUAUUUUUCCUAACAUUUCUCUCUGUGUUGGGUUCCUUGCUCUGUUUUUUAUUCAUGGGUAUUGUUUGCAGUUGUUCUUUGUUACAAUUAGAUAGAUAUGCUUUAGAGCUGAGUUUGAGUCCGAUCCCGGGGUCUUUUCAUUAGGCAUGUAAUUCUUGGAUUGAUCAUAACCGUUAGUUAACAUCUGUAAGACGGUCCAUUUUCAGUGCCUACCCUCUACUUGUAAUAAAGAGAAGAGAGAUAUAUGUGGCUUUAAAGCUCACUUUAAAUUUACAACAUGCCUGUAAGGUAUUUGAUAAAAUCGCCAUGAAAAACCGGUUUUUUAAUUUAUUAGGAACAGGGUAAAUAUUAGGUAUG